This 451-nucleotide ribosomal RNA is filed under the name uncultured bacterium. RNAcentral describes it as "bacterial SSU rRNA". It matches the Rfam family "Bacterial small subunit ribosomal RNA", at positions 354 to 796 of the family's 1533-position model. The record is from RNAcentral.
GUGGGGAAUAUUGCGCAAUGGGCGAAAGCCUGACGCAGCAACGCCGCGUGAGUGAUGAAGGCCUUCGGGUUGUAAAGCUCUUUCGGCCGGGAAGAAGGGUGUGCGAGUGAACAAUUCGUACAUUUGAUGGUACCGGAAGAAGAAGCACCGGCUAACUUCGUGCCAGCAGCCGCGGUAAUACGAAGGGUGCGAGCGUUGUUCGGAAUUACUGGGCGUAAAGGGUUCGUAGGCGGGAGCUUAAGUCAAGUGUGAAAUCCCCAAGCUUAACUUGGGACGUGCAUUUGAAACUGGGCUUCUUGAGUGUUGGAGAGGGUGACGGAAUUGCUGGUGUAGGAGUGACAUCCGUAGAGAUCAGCAGGAACACCGGAGGCGAAGGCGGUUACCUGGCCAAACACUGACGCUGAGGAACGAAAGCGUGGGGAGCAAACAGGAUUAGAAACCCGUGUAGUCC